Molecule: long non-coding RNA, 2540 nt
Filed under: Felis catus (domestic cat)
Lineage: Eukaryota; Metazoa; Chordata; Mammalia; Carnivora; Felidae
Description: lncRNA (ENSFCAG00000047343.1)
Source: RNAcentral
GUUGGAAAAUCACAGGCUCCUCAGCCCCAGCUAAUUACUACCUCCAGCAGCACCGCUAUAGGCCGCUGCAUAAAGCAGAAAACUCUUCGUUUUAUGCAAAACCAAGGGUGGCAAAGAAGGCAGCUUCCAACGAGUGGAAAUUGGAUAAUUGAAUCAAUGUGUUCUUUUUGAAAAGCGAGAGGAUGUAGUAAAGUAUCUAAUUUGGACUGAGGGCAAGCAGAAUGGCUUCUCAUGUUUCACACUAAAGAUGGCCUCCCAGAUAAGUGACACGCAGACCCUGGUGAGAACAGUCACCUUUGCUGUAGGAUUACAGCCGGGCACAAAGUCACGAGUGCCACAGGCUGACUGUGGUCAGAUCAAGACGUCAUGUAUGCUGACGUUUCCAUUUCUGGGUCUCCGAAAUUGAGUGACUGCACGUGCCAGCAUCUACUGUCUUCAAAGCAUCAUGCUGGACUUCGUAGACGAUACUCAGAUGUGGCGCUGGAUGUGAACCCGGUCCCGAGAAGCAGAUCUUCGCUUUGGGCAGAAAGAAGCAAACCCAUUAGAAAGGUAGGCGGGACGAGACAUCACCCAAAGGCUGCACAGCCAACGUCCACAGUGGGGAGUCCCUCUGGGGGCAAUGGGGGUCUCCGGCAAGACUUGCCCAGAGGCUUAAAGCAGGGGGUCUUGACUGCCAGGAGGACGUGGGUGGAGAAUGAGGAGAAGGGAGGGCCCUGCCCCAGACAGGAGCGGCCCAGAUUCAGGCUGGGGCAACGCAAAGGCACAUUAGGAGAAUGUCUAUCAAAAUGUCUAUCCAAAACAGCCCUAUUCUGAAGUCCGCUUCCUAGAGCUGUUAAGAUUAUUAAGCACACAACUGUUCCCAAAUCCUAAUUAUCUGUUCUGAUUUAGGGGGCUAAGAAGCUGGAUAAUUGACAACAGCAACAAAUCCAAAAGUGAUUUCCAGCUGGCUUUGGAGCGCAGCUGCUCUGACUUGCUAAUUACCUUGCUUCCCCCUGGACGCACAUCACACAUCGCCAAGGCCAGGUGGGAAACUGUCACGGACAGUAGGAAGAAUCCCUUUCUGUGGUAGAGCAGAAGAAGAGUCUGGAAGACCAGGCACAACCAGGUGAGUUUUUUUUUUAAUGUUCAUUUAUUUAUUUUGAGAGAGAGAGAGCACGUGCACAUGCACGAGCCGGGGAGGGGCAGAGAGAGAGAGAGAGGGAGAGAGAGAGAGAAUUCCAGGCAGGAUCCACUCUGUCCGUGCAAAGCGCAACGUGGGGCUCCAUUCCGUGACCGUGGCACCAUGAGCUGAGCCGAAACCAAGAGUCUGAUGCUGCACCGACGGAGCCACCCUGAGUCACUCAGCCAGGUGAGUUCAUGUGUGACCUCGGGUGCACUUUCUCUUUAUCUCAGCUCCCCCAGUCUGUAAAUGGAGGAUAUAAUCCCUCCUGCCUCCCUGAGUUGUUUAGGGACCAAGUGAGCUGGCCUAGGUGUAGCAACACUAUGAGUGCUGCCCCCAGACCCUGCCGGAGCCUGCUCACUGGAUCUGUGCGCCCAUCCCCCAGUUUCUGAGUGCUUUGCUUCCAGAGGCUCCCACCUGAGACCUUCUCUGGUGGAUGGCCCUGGGGCUGCUGUAGCUGCUGCCUUCCCCCCACCCCCGCCCCCUUGCUGGUUUCUCAUGGGAGCUUCUCCGUUGUAAAUCACUCACACGUGAAUCUUCUUCGAACUCUACUCCUGGUGAAUCCAACUGAAGACAGUUUACAACAUCAUUUCAAAGGUCUGCGAACCAAAUACAUACUUGUAAGGAAUUACCAUGUGAAAUAACUUCAGAGCUGACUGUACAAAUCUUACAUCUCUGAAUUAUUGGGGUCAGAACAGAACGAGAGGUCAAAGGGGACCUGUCGCUAGUUGUUCCGUAACGUACUCAGCGCGGUCAGCCUCCGUGACCACCAUACUCCUGACUUUGUGUUUACCGCCCCAUCACCAAAUCAACUGGGAGCCUUCAUCUUCUUGGGCCUCUGGGGGCCUCCUCUGCUGCUCUGUCAGCUAAGGCUGCACUGUUUUCCACCCAGGGGUCGCCAGCUUAUUCCCACUCCACUUCCUGCGUGACCUUUCUCAGGGCUCCAGGAAAAAGCCAAGUCUUGAGCGGAGGACAACGGCCCAGGCUGGAUUCAUUUUUGAGAACUGUAUAAAAGAAGGUGCAUGUUUUUGGCAGUUGUCAAGGGGAAGAAAUCAUGGACCCGGAUUGCUGAUCAACAAAACUUAAAUAGAAACAGACUAUUCGUUAUGUCACCCGAUUUGGUAUUUUUAUAAGGAACAUAUACACACAUGCUUUCAGAAUAGGUGCUCAAUAUUCAAAGUCUUGUUUUGAUCUCUCUCCUAUGGCUAGUGAGUUUCCACAUAUCAGGGACGUCCAUGGUAGCCCGGGGACAAGGAUGGACCCAUCACCAUGUUCAGAUCCUCAAAGUUUUCAUCUGCAUUCAGUGAGAACGUUUCAGCCCCUGUUCAAAACCAGAUGACUUUAGAGACAAUAAAUAAUCAGACUUACCUUAUGAGACCCA